Molecule: ribosomal RNA, 1305 nt
Filed under: human gut metagenome
Description: bacterial LSU rRNA
Rfam family: Bacterial large subunit ribosomal RNA
Source: RNAcentral
AUCCGGAGGUAAAGCACUGAAUGGCCUAGCGUCCGAGAGGAUAGCGAAGCCUAUCAAACUAAGAAUGCCGGAAUAUUGAUGCAUGGGAGUCAGACAGUGUGAGAUAAAUCUCAUUGUCAAAAGGGAAACAGCCCAGAUCUACAGCUAAGGUCCCAAAUUGUAUCUAAGUGGAAAACGAUGUGGAAAUACGCAGACAACCAGGAUGUUGGCUCAGAAGCAGCCACUCAUUUAAAGAGUGCGUAAUAGCUCACUGGUCGAGCGUCUCUGCGCGGAAAAUUUAACGGGGCUAAGAUACAAACCGAAGCUUAGGCUGCAUACGGAAGUAUGCGGGGUAGGGGAGCGUUGUGUAAGCGGAGAAACAGUAGCGGAAGCGGCUGUGGAGUUUACAGAAGUGAGAAUGCCGGAAUGAGUAGCGCGAAUGAUGUGAGAAUCAUCAUGGCCGGAAACCUCAGGUUUUUGGAGGAAGGUUCGUCCGCUCCAAGUUAGGCGGGAGCUAAGGUGAGGCCGAAAGGCGUAGCCGAUGCACAGACGGUAGAGAUUCCGUCCCCACCGAAAGAUUUAAGCGCAGGGACACUUUUAGAAGGUCGGAGCCAGGUGUUGGUUCUGGUAGAGAUCGAGGGAAGAUUAGUACCGAAGUCCGGCUGGAUAAGAGGCGAGAAAAGCUGCGUGUAUAUCUAAGGUGCCCGUACCGCAAACCGACACAGGUAGGUAGGAAGAAGAUUCUAAGGCCAACGGGAGAAGGGUUGUUAAGGAACUCGGCAAGUUGACCCCGUAACUUCGGAAUAAGGGGUGCUCAUGAAAGUGAGCCGCAGAGAAUAGGCCCAGGCAACUGUUUACCAAAAACACAGGUUUGUGCUAAAUCGAAAGAUGACGUAUACGAGCUGACGCCUGCCCGGUGCUGGAAGGUUAAAAGGAGAUGUGCAAGCAUUGAAUUGAAGCCCCAGUGAACGGCGGCCGUAACUAUAACGGUCCUAAGGUAGCGAAAUUCCUUGUCAGGUAAGUUCUGACCCGCAUGAAAGGCGUAAUGAUCUGGGCACUGUCUCAACAGCCCGCCCGGCGAAAUUGUAGUACCGGUGAAGAUGCCGGUUACCCGCGACAAGACGGAAAGACCCCAUGGAGCUUUACUGUAGCCUAAUAUUGGGUUUCGGUGUUGCAUGCACAGGAUAGAUGGGACGCUGGGAAGUGAGUGCUUUGGCAUUCAUGGAGCGGCCGUUGGGAUACCAUCCUUGCGACAUUGGAAUUCUAACCUGCGCCUUUGAAUCAAGGCGGGGGACAUUGUUAGGUGGGCAGUUUGACUGGGGCGGU